This 513-nucleotide ribosomal RNA is filed under the name uncultured bacterium. RNAcentral's name for it is "partial 16S ribosomal RNA". It matches the Rfam family "Bacterial small subunit ribosomal RNA", at positions 28 to 507 of the family's 1533-position model. The record is from RNAcentral.
GACGAACGCUGGCGGCGUGCUUAACACAUGCAAGUCGAACGAAAAGAGGGAAAGAGCUUGCUCUUUCCGGAAUUGAGUGGCAAACGGGUGAGUAACACGUAAACAACCUGCCUUCAGGAUGGGGACAACAGACGGAAACGACUGCUAAUACCGAAUAAGUUCCAAGAGCCGCAUGGCCCAUGGAAGAAAAGGUGGCCUCUACCUGUAAGCUAUCGCCUGAAGAGGGGUUUGCGUCUGAUUAGCUGGUUGGAGGGGUAACGGCCCACCAAGGCGACGAUCAGGAGCCGGUCUGAGAGGAUGAACGGCCACACUGGAACUGAGACACGGGCCAGACUCCUACGGGAGGCAGCAGUGGGGAAUCUUCCGCAAUGGGCGAAAGCCUGACGGAGCAACGCCGCGUGAGUGAUGACGGCCUUCGGGUUGUAAAACUCUGUGAUCCGGGACGAAAAGGCAGAGUGCGAAGAACAAACUGCAUUGACGGUACCGGAAAAGCAAGCCACGGCUAACUACGUG